CAGCAGCCGCGGGAAUACGUAGGGCGCAAGCGUUGUCCGGAAUUAUUGGGCGUAAAGAGCUCGUAGGCGGUCUGUCGCGUCUGCUGUGAAAACCUGAGGCUCAACCUCGGGCUUGCAGUGGGUACGGGCAGACUAGAGUGCGGUAGGGGUGACUGGAAUUCCUGGUGUAGCGGUGGAAUGCGCAGAUAUCAGGAGGAACACCGAUGGCGAAGGCAGGUCACUGGGCCGCAACUGACGCUGAGGAGCGAAAGCAUGGGGAGCGAACAGGAUUAGAUACCCGAGUAGUCCCUGUCUCUUAUAC
Molecule: ribosomal RNA, 301 nt
Filed under: uncultured bacterium
Lineage: Bacteria
Description: partial 16S ribosomal RNA
Rfam family: Bacterial small subunit ribosomal RNA
Source: RNAcentral